GACGAACGCUGGCGGCGUGCUUAACACAUGCAAGUCGAACGGAAAGGCCCUGCUUUUGUGGGGUGCUCGAGUGGCGAACGGGUGAGUAACACGUGAGUAACCUGCCCUUGACUUUGGGAUAACUUCAGGAAACUGGGGCUACUACCGGAUAGGAGCUCCUGCUGCAUGGUUGGGGUUGGAAAGUUUCGGCGGUUGGGGAUGGACUCGCGGCUUAUCAGCUUGUUGGUGGGGUAGUGGCUUACCAAGGCUUUGACGGGUAGCCGGCCUGGGAGGGUGACCGGCCACAUUGGGACUGAGAUACGGCCCAGACUCCUACGGGAGGCAGCAGUGGGGAAUAUUGCACAACGGGCGGAAGCCGGAUGCAGCAACGCCGCGUGCGGGAUGACGGCCUGCGGGUUGUAAACCGCUUUCGCCUGUGACGAAGCGGGAGUGACGGUAAUGGGUAAAGAAGCACCGGCUAACUACGUG
Molecule: ribosomal RNA, 468 nt
Filed under: uncultured bacterium
Lineage: Bacteria
Description: partial 16S ribosomal RNA
Rfam family: Bacterial small subunit ribosomal RNA
Source: RNAcentral